UAAUACAGUGCAAAUGAAAAUAGUGGUGAGAGCACUCAAUGCAAGCAAAAUAGAACGUUUACCACUACUGUCUUGAGCAUGUAUCUAGAAUAACAAGACAUAAAGAGAACCAUAGGGUAAUAUUGUCAUAAAUAUAUACAAUGACCAUAUGUGACUGGUUAAACUCACAUGCUUCUGAGUCACUUUAAAAAGCUGACUCAGACUAUGAACUUGUAAUGGAGAUGAAACCUUUUAAGCA
Pelobates cultripes (western spadefoot toad) is the source of this 238-nucleotide non-coding RNA. NCBI's taxonomy places the organism in Eukaryota, Metazoa, Chordata, Amphibia, Anura, Pelobatidae. The record is from the annotation of a GenBank genome assembly.